CUGUGGUGUGCUGAAAGAAUAAGCUGAGAUGUAGGGGCAAGCACCUUCCUUGGGACUUUGAGGAAGGUCUAUUGAUGGAGGGAAGAACUACCUGUAAAAAGGGUGUUGAUUUAUUGACAGCUCCUUAAGAAGGCGAUUGUACAAAACAGUAAAGCAUUGGAAAAGCACUCUUAAAAUCCUUUUUUAAAAGGUCAAAUAAAAACCACAGCAUAAAAAAUACAAAACUAAAAGUGGUCACUCACAGCAAUGGGUUGGUGGGAAAAGACUCUACUACAGGGAGCAUCACACAUGUGAAUUCAGAGCACAGACCAGCUGUUGCUACUUGCAAUUAAUCUGAAGUAAUUGUUUGGAGGUGUGAGCUACCUUGCCUAAGGAACUGAUGGAGAUCAGCUGUAUGGUGGACACAGAAUGAUGGUCUUAUACUGCCACAAGCCAAAUUCAGCUUGUUGGAGCUGUUGCUGAAGAUGCCAUGAGACUUCCCAGUGAUCUUCAGAUCAGGUUAACAGCCAAUAGGAUGGACACCCCAGUCUCAUCUUAGGGAAGCCCUGUUUUUCGUACCACAAGAGGCUGAGAAGAAAGCAGAAGGGACAGGUGGGGCCAAGUGUUCUGGGAUGCAACCUUCUGGAGGUGGAGGCAGUGGCAAUUCUGCAACCCCACGAUGACAAGUGCAACAAUUUAUUCUCAAAUGAGGUGGACCAGGUGGUAGUCAUGGCAAUGGAUGGAUUGACACCCUGAAGAUUUACUGUCAUUGGUAUUCCACAUCAUAACAUCAUGUAGUGGACAUACCUAGUUCUCAGAAGAGAAGGACUACUACAGUCCCCACGGUACUUUGCUCCUUUGUUACCAUUU
Molecule: long non-coding RNA, 849 nt
Filed under: Numida meleagris (helmeted guineafowl)
Lineage: Eukaryota; Metazoa; Chordata; Aves; Galliformes; Numididae
Description: lncRNA (ENSNMEG00000018842.1)
Source: RNAcentral